This 253-nucleotide ribosomal RNA is filed under the name uncultured bacterium. Its description in RNAcentral is "partial 16S ribosomal RNA". It matches the Rfam family "Bacterial small subunit ribosomal RNA", at positions 524 to 776 of the family's 1533-position model. The record is from RNAcentral.
UACGUAGGGUGCGAGCGUUGUCCGGAAUUAUUGGGCGUAAAGAGCUUGUAGGCGGUUUGUCGCGUCUGCUGUGAAAAUCCGGGGCUCAACCCCGGACUUGCAGUGGGUACGGGCAGACUAGAGUGUGGUAGGGGAGACUGGAAUUCCUGGUGUAGCGGUGAAAUGCGCAGAUAUCAGGAGGAACACCGGUGGCGAAGGCGGGUCUCUGGGCAGUAACUGACGCUGAGGAGCGAAAGCAUGGGGAGCGAACAGG